UCUGUUAGUUACAAUCCAAUUGCGCGACUCACUGCUGGAGAAUGAACUGUUGAACACUGCCGCAGGUCUACGGAGAAGUCUCGAAGCUAGCAAAUCUCACUACACAACUCUCUAUAGAAACUCCCACCACUCACCAGCCGUCCAUGGGAGUGAGAUGGUUUGUAAGAUGUGCGAAAGAAGUGGCUGGUAGUGGACAAAAUAUUUAAAAUUCAACGGAAAUGUUUUGCGUCUUUAAAGGACCCCAAAUGGGUCAUAAAAACAAAAUUACUUUUCUUACUAGACCAUACAGCGAAGAGAGAAAAAUUAUAUCGAGCGGCAAAUAUAAUGGAUGGUAAUAUUGCGAGUAAAUUGUGAGAAACACAGUAAAAAUAUUUUAUAGGGAAGACUGGGGAUGAUUGAUUCUCACAAUGCAAUUAAAAAAAUAAUAUAUUUUGAGAAUUAUUUUAAAAGGAUUUCUCGCGAAUUUUAACACCUGAAAAUCGACUUGAAUGGUUAGCCAGAAUCUGACUCAAGUGAAAUUCUAAGUUUUUGAAGAACUGCGGGGAUGAGUUGUAUUUUUUUUCAAAAUUGAAUUGUUUUUAAGUUUGUUUAGCAUAGCUUUAUUAAAACCAUGGAAAAAAUUUAAUUUUAAAAAUAGAUUUUUUUUAUUGAAAAACUGAACUUUUUUUUUGGCUUGAAAAGCUUGAUUAAAUAAGAGGAUACAAUUAAUGAGAAAUUCACAAAUGAGUCUUCACAAAAACACUCACAGGGCCCCAGUCUCCUGUAAUGGGAUGCAAUAAAAAGAAGAAGCGUGGAAGGAAAUAUUAGAUCUGAAAAAAUAAUUAUUAGUGAAAUUUUUAUUACAAAUUGGUGGGCAAAUGAUUUUUUUUAUUGAACUCCGUUAAAUGGUCUCGUGGUUUUGGUGUUUCUGGGUGACACCAAACAAUCAAAACUACCAUAAGAUUUUCCUCUCACACAGAGUAAUUUAGUGACACACAAUUGCGAUAGUUUUUCAAAAAAAAAAAAAGAUAUCCAUCUAUCAAUUUCAUUAACGGUCCUUUUCAUGCAAUUUUUCAUUAAGUUCCAUUUUAUUGCCAUAAAUCAUCUUGAGAUGAAUGGGAAAUGUUGUUGAGAGGUCUUUCGGAUAAUACUCUUCAUGCGUUUCAAUUGAUUUUCUUAUCAAACUGAAAAUGCCAUAUGUUUAUUUUUUUGCAGGAAAUUCCACAGAGUUUAGUAAGAAUUUGUUGGGAAUUUAUAGAGGCGUUUCUUGGGUGCGAUUGCAAGAGCUGCGAGCUCUUGAUAAAGUAAAAUAUAGAAAUGGAAUCAGUCGACAAACUGGUCAUUCAGUUGAUUCAGAAAAUGAAACUAGAAAUAGGAAUCUUUAAUGUUCUGUAGGCCUCAUAUUCAUUUAUAAUUUAUUUUAUAAAAUCAUUUAAAAUUUAUUUUUAAAAAUUCUUUGUAGACUUUCUCAAGUUUCAUUAAGAAAACAACACGAUGAAAGUUCUUUCUAUAACUUUUUAUAAUAACUUGCUAUAUAUUUAAUAUGAAAGUUGACCGUGUCUUUCACUCUGCUCUACGUUUGUAGAAAGGUUGUAAAUAGCUGCAAUGCAUUCUGUACAAGAGAAUAUAAACGAAUUUUCAUGUUUCUCAAUUAAAGAAGAAAUUACUUUCUCAAAUGGAGAAAGAAGAAUAAAUGUUUUAGCUUAAGAAA
This is a long non-coding RNA of Lutzomyia longipalpis, 1690 nucleotides long. RefSeq lists it as uncharacterized. The record is from RefSeq and is a predicted model, not a curated record. The transcript has 2 exons. Lineage: Eukaryota; Metazoa; Arthropoda; Insecta; Diptera; Psychodidae.